Molecule: long non-coding RNA, 472 nt
Filed under: Corvus moneduloides (New Caledonian crow)
Lineage: Eukaryota; Metazoa; Chordata; Aves; Passeriformes; Corvidae
Description: lncRNA (ENSCMUG00000017931.1)
Source: RNAcentral
AUGCUUCUAGAUGCUUCAGGAAAAGUGCUGUGUCAGCUUGCCCUGCUAUUCCCAAUGCACAGAAAAUUUGGGGGAUGACCAGAAAAUGCAGCCCAGCUCUACAGAAGCCUCCCAGGCCUCCAGGUGUCUGGAAAAUAAGAUCCACAGGGUGUCCAUGAGAAGUCCAUCCAGGUGUCCAGAAGAAACAAUCUUCUCAAAGACCAGUGGAUUUCCAUGUCCCUGGAUUCCACCCCACUGCUACCUACUGCAUCAGACUUCGAGUCAGUGCAACAAAACAGACAUUUCCCAUCUGACAAUGGAGGCUUUUCCUCUUGGCUUCAAAACCCACUCACCUCAAUUAGCAAGACCUGAAGACAUUUUGAUAAGCUUAAGCCAGGACAUGUUCUGUAAAGAAAACAGCCCUGCUGAAAGGGUUGCUGCUCUGGGGGGCCCUUUUCUGCUGCUUUUGGAGUGUAACAACCACUUACAUUAA